RNAcentral lists this non-coding RNA (179 nucleotides) under Syntrophaceticus schinkii. The record is from RNAcentral. Lineage: Bacteria; Bacillati; Bacillota; Clostridia; Thermoanaerobacterales; Thermoanaerobacterales Family III. Incertae Sedis.
AAUAUUGAUCGGAAAACAGGUUGAGGGAAGCCGGUGCAAUUCCGGCGCGGUCCCGCCACUGUAAGGGGGAUGUCCCUGCACCAAUGCCACUGUCCAGCGCUCAAAGAGCAAGUAGGAUGGGAAGGCACAGGGGCUAAAUGAACCCAAGCCAGGAGACCUACCUGUACUCUGUCAGUCAC